This 515-nucleotide ribosomal RNA is filed under the name Lithodes sp. RNAcentral describes it as "partial large subunit ribosomal RNA". The stretch from base 116 to 515 matches the Rfam family "Eukaryotic large subunit ribosomal RNA", at positions 674 to 1056 of the family's 3401-position model. The record is from RNAcentral. Lineage: Eukaryota; Metazoa; Arthropoda; Malacostraca; Decapoda; Lithodidae.
GUAAGGAACCCUUCCCCUGGGGCUGAUCCCUGGCCGACAGUCGACCGUGGGGUGCCAGAGGGGGGUGGGAGCUCGGUGAGGCAUUUUCCCGGUUCUUUGUCACCCUUUGGCUUACUCCUGCGUGUCGGCAGUGGCCCACGCCCGCAAUGGGGGGGCGCAAGCCCGGGACUUGCCACCAGUGCACCUCUCGGCGUCCGCGACUGGCCUCUCGGGGCCUUUCCGCGUGGGCUGAGUUGGUAGCCGGCAAGUACCUUGAGCAGACAUGUUGGGACCCGAAAGAUGGUGAACUAUGCUUGGCCAGGACGAAGCCAGAGGAAACUCUGGUGGAGGUCCGCCGCGAUUCUGACGUGCAAAUCGAUCGUCGGAGCUGAGUAUAGGGGCGAAAGACUAAUCGAACCAUCUAGUAGCUGGUUCCCUCCGAAGUUUCCCUCAGGAUAGCUGGUACUCGAGAGUAAUUUCAUCCGGUAAAGCGAAUGGAUUAGAGGUCUUGGGGGACGAAACGUCCUCAACCUAUU